AUCCAGUCAACGAGUCCCAAAUAGGAUGAAGCGCGCGUCCUGGAU
Molecule: non-coding RNA, 45 nt
Organism: Schistosoma margrebowiei
Lineage: Eukaryota; Metazoa; Platyhelminthes; Trematoda; Strigeidida; Schistosomatidae
Source: Rfam